AUGGAUGAGCCUGCGUUGGAUUAGCUAGUUGGUGGGGUAAGGGCCUACCAAGGCUACGAUCCAUAGCUGAUUUGAGAGGAUGAUCAGCCACAUUGGGACUGAGACACGGCCCAAACUCCUACGGGAGGCAGCAGUGAGGAAUAUUGGACAAUGGGGGCAACCCUGAUCCAGCAAUGCCAUGUGUGUGAAGAAGGCCUUAGGGUUGUAAAGCACUUUAGUUGGGGAAGAAAGCUUUGAGGUUAAUAGCCUUGAGGAAGGACGUUACCCAAAGAAUAAGCACCGGCUAACUCCGUGCCAGCAGCCGCGGUAAUACGGGGGGUGCAAGCGUUAAUCGGAAUUACUGGGCGUAAAGAGUCUGUAGGUGGUUUGUUAAGUCAGAUGUGAAAGCCCAGGGCUCAACCUUGGAACUGCAUUUGAUACUGGCAAACUAGAGUACGGUAGAGGAAUGGGGAAUUUCUGGUGUAGCGGUGAAAUGCGUAGAGAUCAGAAGGAACACCAAUGGCGAAGGCAACAUUCUGGACCGAUACUGACACUGAGGGACGAAAGCGUGGGGAUCAAACAGGAUUAGAUACCCUGGUAGUCCACGCUGUAAACGAUGAGUACUAGCUGUUGGAGUCGGUGUAAAGGCUCUAGUGGCGCAGCUAACGCGAUAAGUACUCCGCCUGGGGACUACGGCCGCAAGGCUAAAACUCAAAGGAAUUGACGGGGACCCGCACAAGCGGUGGAGCAUGUGGUUUAAUUCGAUGCAACGCGAAGAACCUUACCUGGUCUUGACAUCCUGCGAACUUUCUAGAGAUAGAUUGGUGCCUUCGGGAACGCAGUGACAGGUGCUGCACGGCUGUCGUCAGCUCGUGUUGUGAAAUGUUGGGUUAAGUCCCGCAACGAGCGCAACCCCUAUUGAUAGUUACCAUCAUUAAGUUGGGUACUCUAUUGAGACUGCCGCUGACAAGGCGGAGGAAGGUGGGGACGACGUCAAGUCAUCAUGGCCCU
Molecule: ribosomal RNA, 990 nt
Filed under: Francisella endosymbiont of Hyalomma sp.
Lineage: Bacteria; Pseudomonadati; Pseudomonadota; Gammaproteobacteria; Thiotrichales; Francisellaceae
Description: bacterial SSU rRNA
Rfam family: Bacterial small subunit ribosomal RNA
Source: RNAcentral